CCAUGUUGGCCGGGCCAGUCUCGAACUCCUGACGUCAAGUGAUCUUCCCGCCUCGACUCCUGACAUCAAGUGAUCUUCCCGCCUCGGCCUCCCAGAGUGCUGAGAUUACAGACGUGAACCCAUGCCUGGCCAGGAAUUUUGUUUUUUAGGAAGGAUUUCUACUAAUGGAAUUCCUGGCCUUGAGAGGAUGUUACUUUCGAAGGAAAGGAUUUUUUUUGUUAUUAAAAGAGCCACCUAAGCUGAAGAUUCCCUUGAGAACAAGUACUGUCCUGCGGUUUCAUGGCCUUUCUUCCAUUUGUGGUUCUUGCGAAGUGGAAUUUAAAUGACAUCUUACCAAGAUGGAUAAACCCUAGUUUCCCAGUGCUGGAAUAUAGAAAAUGGAUGGACAAGUAAAUCCCACUCAGCACCCAUAGUCCAGGCAUGGGGAUCUCAACACACCUGAG
Molecule: small RNA, 443 nt
Filed under: Pan troglodytes (chimpanzee)
Lineage: Eukaryota; Metazoa; Chordata; Mammalia; Primates; Hominidae
Description: retained intron
Source: RNAcentral